RNAcentral lists this ribosomal RNA (222 nucleotides) under uncultured bacterium. Its description in RNAcentral is "partial 16S ribosomal RNA". It matches the Rfam family "Bacterial small subunit ribosomal RNA", at positions 109 to 334 of the family's 1533-position model. The record is from RNAcentral.
AGUAAUGUAUGGGGGACUGCCUGAUGGGGGGGGAUAACUACUGGAAACGGUAGCUAAUACCGCAUAACGUCGCAAGACCAAAGAGGGGGACCUUAGGGCCUCUUGCCAUCGGAUGUGCCCAGAUGGGAUUAGCUAGUAGGUGGGGUAAUGGCUCACCUAGGCGACGAUCCCUAGCUGGUCUGAGAGGAUGACCAGCCACACUGGAACUGAGACACGGUCCAG